Molecule: non-coding RNA, 458 nt
Organism: Paramuricea clavata
Lineage: Eukaryota; Metazoa; Cnidaria; Anthozoa; Malacalcyonacea; Plexauridae
Source: the annotation of a GenBank genome assembly
GAGUAAGUUAAGAGCGUCUUAAGGUUUACUGAGGAAGAUAGGAUGGAGUUAAAUCAAACGAAAUGUAAAGAAAUGACAAUUGACUUUCGGGAAAAUGUAACUGUUAUUCCACCGCUAGAAAAGGGUUGAAUGUUACAAAUUACUUGGAUUAUGGGUCGAUGACGAUUUGAAGUGGUCUACUAACACAUGCUAUAUUGUUAAAAAAAACGGUAAAAAGAUUGUAGGCUACUUUCUGAAGAUAUUAAAAGCGGUUAUAAUGCACCCAAGCAGGAUCUAAAAGCCUUUUACACUGCUGUCAUAAGAUCGACGCUCGAAUACUGUACUCAAAUCUGGCAUGGAAAAUUAACCAAGGAACAGUCUAUUGAUAUAGAACUACAAUCCUGUGCAAACAUUUUUGGAGAAUGCAUUUAUCCGCAGUUUCUCAGUGAUAUAUGAACUGUUCUUCCCCCCUCCCCCCA